This 91-nucleotide non-coding RNA is filed under the name unclassified sequences. Its description in RNAcentral is "GP20-a RNA". It matches the Rfam family "GP20-a RNA". Rfam says of the family: gut metagenomes. The record is from RNAcentral.
AUUGCCCCUGCUGGCCGGGCUUAAAAUGCCAGAGCGGUACGGCGCGGAGUGGCCGCGCGUUUAGAAAUUAAAUCCAUACCGAGAAAGGAAA